GUUGGUUGCAACGUUUAUUGGCACAUAUCUUAUGCAUGCAUGUUAAGGUUAAGAACAAAUCAACAAUACAUACAAUAGGUAGUUCCUGUAAUAGAGACCGUCCGGAGUUACGUCUUGGAAGUUUGGACUGCCACCAUAUUUAAUGAGGGUAUAUUUUAUUGGAUAGAGACAAACAUUUUGCCCUGUAACUGGAAACAAACAAAAGAGUUGUUGCAAUGGUUUUUAAAGUGCAGAGAGUUUGACACCCUCUCUACGCAAGGCAUCGGAUCUAACAUUCACAUUCUGACUCGCUGGACUGAGCUCGUACUUAUACAUCCAACAAAGCAAAAUCAAUGCCCAAAAUUCGGCCAGGGUUUUACUGCCGGUCGAAAAAAAACACCAAAAUGACAUUUGUGUAUUCCCAAGUCAUAUUUUGAGGUCACCGGUACAUGAUGCGAUUGGAUUAAACAUGUUUGCAAGUCAACCAUCUGCUCUGCCUAAACUAAGACAGUGACCUGUAAAACACAACAGUAUAAUAGACUUUACCAAAUUCUUUCAUAUAUAAAAAGUUUAGAACGUAUGGCUGUACCCCGCUCGUGUGGGUGCACUCGAGUCCAAUCUUGAUUCACUAGAUAUAGGGUUGUCAAUUUCC
This 631-nucleotide long non-coding RNA is filed under the name Mytilus galloprovincialis (Mediterranean mussel). The record is from RNAcentral. Lineage: Eukaryota; Metazoa; Mollusca; Bivalvia; Mytilida; Mytilidae.